Molecule: ribosomal RNA, 414 nt
Filed under: uncultured Desulfocapsa sp.
Lineage: Bacteria; Pseudomonadati; Thermodesulfobacteriota; Desulfobulbia; Desulfobulbales; Desulfocapsaceae
Description: bacterial SSU rRNA
Rfam family: Bacterial small subunit ribosomal RNA
Source: RNAcentral
AACCUUACCAGGUCUUGACAUCCCGAUGCUAUUUCUAGAGAUAGAAAGUUACUUCGGUACAUCGGUGACAGGUGGUGCAUGGUUGUCGUCAGCUCGUGUCGUGAGAUGUUGGGUUAAGUCCCGCAACGAGCGCAACCCCUAUCUUUAGCUGCCAUCAUUGAGUUGGGCACUCUAAAGAGACUGCCGGUGUCAAACCGGAGGAAGGUGGGGAUGACGUCAAGUCCUCAUGGCCUUUAUGACCAGGGCUACACACGUACUACAAUGGCCGGUACAAAGGGCAGCGACACAGCGAUGUGAAGCGAAUCCCGAAAAGCCGGUCUCAGUCCGGAUUGGAGUCUGCAACUCGACUCCAUGAAGUUGGAAUCGCUAGUAAUCGCGGAUCAGCACGCCGCGGUGAAUACGUUCCCGGGCCUU